AAAAGCAUCUGAAGUUGAGUAAACAUGAAGUAUUUCCUCGUACUAGUUUUUACACUUACUUUGCUAAGUGGCAGCGUUCUGGCAGAUAUUCCAUGGUUAUUGGAUAUCGUUGGUAUCGGUAAAAGACCAACCCCAAUUCCAAUCCCGAUGCCGCAACCUGUUCCUAUUCCACAAUAUAAUCCGAGUAUGAUGAUGCCACCGGGUCAUUUUGGACUUGGUUCCAUGUUUUAUUAGUAGCAAUAGAAUUGUUGAAUUGUGAGAAAUCACAAAGCUACCAAUAAAUUGGUCCAAAAAAUAA
Long non-coding RNA from Drosophila willistoni, 298 nucleotides. RefSeq lists it as uncharacterized. The record is from RefSeq and is a predicted model, not a curated record. NCBI's taxonomy places the organism in Eukaryota, Metazoa, Arthropoda, Insecta, Diptera, Drosophilidae. The transcript has 2 exons.